Molecule: long non-coding RNA, 1353 nt
Filed under: Homo sapiens (human)
Lineage: Eukaryota; Metazoa; Chordata; Mammalia; Primates; Hominidae
Description: HSALNT0082990
Source: RNAcentral
CAAGAGCGAGCCCGGGACUGCGCGGCCGCCUUCCUGGGGCGUGGGGAGCACAGCGCGGGGCAGCGGGACAGGCGGUUCCGCGCAGCUCCUGGGAUGCCCGGGCAGCUGUGGGUGCGCUCGCCCCAACCCUCCUUCAUAAACGCAGGGCCUGGGGCUGCGCAGACCCCACAGGGCGGCCCAAGGGUGCACAGGGGCCCCAGGUGUGUCUUCACACAGCCCCUCGCUAUUGUCUUCAGCAGGAACCUGCAUUCCACAGCCGGACCGGCCACUUACCAGAACUCGGGGGCGCCCAGGCCUUGCGUGGUGCGCUGGAAGGCCAAAUUUCCACCAGACCAGUGUGUUCCAUGAUGCCCACUGGACCUCCGGCCACCCCACCCCCCAACCAGCCUGUCCUAAGAGCCGACAACCUUUCUCCACAAAGCUGUUCAAAGGGCAGAAGAGCAGUGUCACUGCCUGGAAGGACAAAUCCAGAACAGACACCAGUGCCAGGCGCUGGCCAUCAGGUAGUGUGCUGCCCACACCUCCACUGCCCCCCACAGCAGGAAGGGCUGCCUCAUGGAGAAUAGAAAGGCAAUGAGCCCCUGAAGUGGCGUGGCCAGAACAAGGCACACCCCACUGCCCACGAGUCCUGCCAGGGCACACCCCACUGCCCACGAGUCCCUGCACAGGUGAGAAGUGUGGCUGUUUGGCAGCAUCUCAAUCUGUGAGCAUUUGGAGGAUGAAAUGCGUCUGCACUCCAAGGUUGCUGGAGGGCUCGGGGCAGACGGGCGCUGCCCCAGCCUGUGAUGGGCAUGGCCUUGAGGAUGCCAGCCUCAUGCAGAAGCCAGUCUAGGGGAUUAUACAGGGUGUGCACACCCACUCCCCUACCCUCGGACUGGAGCCACAAAACCCUCCCUCUAACUGGGUCGUGGUUUUAGGCAGGGCCGUGGCACCCCACCACUGCAGGGGCCACCAUCCAUAUCAGGCAGACUGUAUGAACCGUGCCCCUUGGAAUUGUACAGUGCACAACCUGCACAUCCUCAUGGCCAAAAAGACCCAGAGACUUGUGUGUGUGUGUGAGGGGGUCUUGGGAAGUAUCCUGAGAACAUUCCUGUCCUGUGGGUGGUGACGAUCUGAUAACUGCCCGACCACUUCCUGCCUCAGGCAGGCACGCAUAGCAUUCUGGAUCCUUCCACCGUGGCCUGGACCCCUUGUGGUCCAGGGACCCCCUGCACGUAUGGGGAAGGGGCGUGGCUGUAAAACAUUCAAAAAUGUGGAAAUAAUGCAAAAGCCAGUCGGAAAACAACUGUAAUCUUAUACCCAGCUGCCACAGCAUCUGAACUUCAGGAUUAAGAAAAUAAAACUGAAAACACC